UGCAGCAAGCAGGUCCCCCAAGAAGGGGUCCAGUCCACAAGUUUAAUCUUCAGGGCCAGCUUCCGGGGUGCUCCAGCAGGGCUGCACACACAAAUGGGCCCUGUACUUGCUCUGAUUUUUUUUUUUCCGUCACCAUUUUGAAAUUCUGAAUACCUUUUUGAAUCGUGUCCGUUUUGCUACGGGCCCUGCAACUAUGCAGCCAGCCCCGCUGUUCAUGGCUGCACGUAAGAGGAGCCGGGUGCUGUAGGCGUUCAUGGGCCAGAAGAGAGUCCUUUCCAACUGAAGGUAAGGAAACGUAAUGACACAGAACCACCUUGGCUACAGCCCAGCGAGAGGUGGAGAUGCUGCUGCAACUAGCCUGGCAGCUGGGAGCCAGCUCCUCACACGUGCCAGCUGUGCCAGCAGAGCGAAAGCACAGGCGAGCAGCGUGAAGUGACUGCAGACAGUGGAAAGGCGAAGACGGUUCCCAAAGAAGAGGCCAUGUGUGUGUGAUGGGCUGGUGACUGGGGCUCCACCACUCUUCCACGGGCUUGUGCUUCAUCCUGCUUCCUGGCAGAAGACAUCCCAGGUGGCUCCCCGGCCCCCACAGAGGGAACCUGGGCAGAUCAAGGAAAAAUGACCCGCAUGGAGACAGAGCCACUAGUACAGCUAAACCAACAAAAACAGGAGUCAAGAUAAAGUCACAACAAAAUGUAUUUAAAAACCGGUUUCUCCAGUUGGCAUUUUGAAUGAGACACUUUACAAUGAACUUCCACCCUCCUCUGCUGUGUUUCUUGGGCUCCUGGAGUCCUUUUGUGGCUUUAAUUCUUGAAACUCCGGCAGCAGCACCAGACGUGUCAGCCCCAAGGGGAGAGGUAUUAUGAAGCCGUUCUUUCUGAACGCAAAUGAACAAAUUCCUAAACCCUCUUCUAUUCAUCUCAUGACGAUCAUUAGAAAAAAAAAUUAAGCCAAACUUUGCAUCCUGAAAAUGAAACAAAAACCGCACACAAAAAAACAUCUUGCAGAUAAUAAAUAUCGCCGAUCCACUUAUUUCAACAAAGUCCAAUUUUAUUGGCUCUUAAUACCCUUGCAGACCAUUGUACACCUUCUGCACUGAUCCUUGUUUAAGUAGUUGUUUGAUACCUGAGGGAAGAACGGACAAAUAAAUAAACCUGCUAACAAAAACGUGCUAGCUUCCGUAGAGCUUAAAGAGCAUUCGCAUGUGGAAGUUCCCCAAAGCCUGCUGACAACCACAGGUCUGCAUUAAACAAAGACCACCAUGGAGCUACCAGCACAGGGGCAUCCAGUAGAGCCCAUCUGUUUUUUUCUGUCUCUCAGGCGCACACACACCACACUACCCACAUCCCCUUGUGAAGAAAUGAGAAAACGCAAUAAAAAAAAAGAAAGAGACAAUGUGCAACAGCUACCUUCCAUCCCUUUGUGUGGUCUCUGUUUCAGUUUCCACCUCUUUAGGACGUUUUGCAGCAAGGAUCUACUACUCAGGCCCCUCAACCAGGGAUCCCAAAGCCCACCCAAAGCUCUACUCUGCCGGAGGUUGCCUUUUGCAAUGCUGUCCAGCUGAGCUGUUUCACCAGCGUAUGUCUCACACUCACACACCCCUGUGGUAGUCACCUAAUCUGGUGUCAAUGUAAGGAUUAAGAGUGUAGAGGUGGA
Echinops telfairi (small Madagascar hedgehog) is the source of this 1653-nucleotide long non-coding RNA. RefSeq lists it as uncharacterized. The transcript has 3 exons. The record is from RefSeq and is a predicted model, not a curated record. NCBI's taxonomy places the organism in Eukaryota, Metazoa, Chordata, Mammalia, Afrosoricida, Tenrecidae.